RNAcentral lists this ribosomal RNA (467 nucleotides) under uncultured bacterium. RNAcentral describes it as "partial 16S ribosomal RNA". It matches the Rfam family "Bacterial small subunit ribosomal RNA", at positions 28 to 506 of the family's 1533-position model. The record is from RNAcentral.
GACGAACGCUGGCGGCGUGCUUAACACAUGCAAGUCGAACGGAAAGGCCCUGCUUUUGUGGGGUGCUCGAGUGGCGAACGGGUGAGUAACACGUGAGUAACCUGCCCUUGACUUUGGGAUAACUUCAGGAAACUGGGGCUAAUACCGGAUAGGAGCUCCUGCUGCAUGGUGGGGGUUGGAAAGUUUCGGCGGUUGGGGAUGGACUCGCGGCUUAUCAGCUUGUUGGUGGGGUAGUGGCUUACCAAGGCUUUGACGGGUAGCCGGCCUGAGAGGGUGACCGGCCACAUGGGGACUGAGAUACGGCCCAGACUCCUACGGGAGGCAGCAGUGGGGAAUAUUGCAAAAUGGGCGGAAGCCUGAUGCAGAAACGCCGGGGGGGGGAUGACGGCCUUCGGGUGGUAAACCGCUUUCGCCUGGGACGAAGCGUGAGUGACGGUAAUGGGUAAAGAAGCACCGGCUAACUACGU